Molecule: long non-coding RNA, 839 nt
Organism: Daphnia pulex (common water flea)
Lineage: Eukaryota; Metazoa; Arthropoda; Branchiopoda; Diplostraca; Daphniidae
Exons: 2
Source: RefSeq, a predicted model, not a curated record
CUAACGGCUGCAAACGAGUGCGUGCGUGUGUGCGUGAGUGAUUUCCGUUGGGUUUUUGUAUGAGGUGAAAAAAGAAACACCGACGAUGGCCACCGCAAACGAACGAGUGUGAAAAAACCCAAAGAACCGAGACGGAAGCGUCGGAACCAAUCAGGGAAAAAAUGAAAGAGAGACAGAGAGAAUCAUCAACAAUUGGAUAGAAAAAGAAGGAAGUAAAAAAGAACAGAUACUCUCGACUAUAACCCCCUACGCUAAAGUUUGGAUGCAUCAAAGAAUCUAGUCGUCGUGGUGGCCGCCUGCCUCCAUGUAUAAUAGAAAAGUUAAAGGAAAUCAAUACAAACCUGAUCGAGAAGAGCCUGCUGCCAAGUUCUGAAGAGGACAACGUAGGUUUUGUCACGCGCCCCAAAAGAACAGAAAAAAUGCUUAUCCGCCUCGGUGCAGAUCUGGAUUGCAUUGGGGAUCACCAGGGCAGUCUUUUCUUUUGUCAGUGAAGACACUUCUUUCCAUCGGAGUUGCACCUUUUUGAACAAAAAAAAAUGGAAUAGUAAAGAUCCGACGCCACAGAAUUUGAUAAAAUCGAUAAACAGCAAAUUGAUUUUUUUUCUUUUCUUUUUACUUAAAAAGAAUUUAUUUUUAUACCAGCGUCUCCCAGCGGAAAAUGUUCGCGUAGAAGCAGAGGUAAUUCUGCGUCACAUAAAUGCGACCCUGCAGUAAAAUGUCGCGUUGCAGGGCGCAUGAAUAAUCGACAAUCAAUCGCUCGUCGACCGGCAAAUCUUUGAAAAUCCUUUUGAAAUCCUCGCAACGGGAGCGGUACGUCGGAUUCAACAUUUGGUACCAGG